AUUGAACGCUGGCGGCAUGCCUUACACAUGCAAGUCGAACGGCAGCGGGGACUUCGGUCCGCCGGCGAGUGGCGAACGGGUGAGUAAUGUAUCGGAACGUACCAUUGAGUGGGGGAUAACGUAGCGAAAGUUACGCUAAUACCGCAUAUUCUCUCCGGAGGAAAGCAGGGGACCGCAAGGCCUUGCGCUCUUUGAGCGGCCGAUCUCAGAUUAGCUAGUUGGUGAGGUAAAGGCUCACCAAGGCGACGAUCUGUAGCGGGUCUGAGAGGAUGAUCCGCCAGACUGGAACGUAGGUACGGUCCAAACUCCUACGGGAGGCAGCAGUGGGGGAUUUUGGACAAUGGGGGCAACCCUGAUCCAGCCAUGCCGGGUGAGUGAAGAAGGCCUUCGGGUUGUAAAGCUCUUUCGGCCGGGAAAAAAUCGCAUGGGCUAAUACCCUGUGUGGAUGAUGGUACCGGAAUAAGAAGCACCGGCUAACUACGUGCCAGCAGCCGCGGUAA
RNAcentral lists this ribosomal RNA (500 nucleotides) under uncultured bacterium. RNAcentral's name for it is "partial 16S ribosomal RNA". It matches the Rfam family "Bacterial small subunit ribosomal RNA", at positions 30 to 523 of the family's 1533-position model. The record is from RNAcentral.